GACGAACGCUGGCGGCGUGCUUAACACAUGCCAGUCGAACGGAAAGGCCCUGCUUUUGUGGGGUGCUCGAGUGGCGAACGGGUGAGUAACACGUGAGUAACCUGCCCUUGACUUUGGGAUAACUUCAGGAAACUGGGGCUAAUACCGGAUAGGAGCUCCGGCUGCAUGGUGGUGGUUGGAAAGUUUCGGCGGUUGGGGAUGGACUCGCGGCUUAUCAGCUUGUUGGUGAGGUAGUGGCUUACCAAGGCUUUGACGGGUAGCCGGCCUGAGAGGGUGACCGGCCUCAUUGGGACUGAGAUACGGCCCAGAAUCCUACGGGCGGCAGCAGUGGGGAAUAUUGCACAAUGGGCGGAAGCCUGAUGCAGCAACGCCGCGUGCGGGAUGACGGCCUUCGGGUUGUAAACCGAUUUCGCCUGUGACGAAGCGUGAGUGACGGUAAUGGGUAAAGAAGCACCGGCUAACUACGUG
RNAcentral lists this ribosomal RNA (468 nucleotides) under uncultured bacterium. RNAcentral's name for it is "partial 16S ribosomal RNA". It matches the Rfam family "Bacterial small subunit ribosomal RNA", at positions 28 to 507 of the family's 1533-position model. The record is from RNAcentral.